RNAcentral lists this long non-coding RNA (2990 nucleotides) under Malus domestica (apple). RNAcentral's name for it is "long non-coding RNA (MDOM_LNC000129)". Lineage: Eukaryota; Viridiplantae; Streptophyta; Magnoliopsida; Rosales; Rosaceae. The record is from RNAcentral.
UUGUGGCGACAGGGUGAAGAACCAAUCUUGCUCCUUGCCUUGUAGAGUGGUGGCGACAAUCUUGCACAUGAGAUCGUCGUUGUUUCGAUAAAGGAUCAUUGCCCUUCGGUAGUGAUUUAACUGUUUCUCCGAGUUUUCAUCUCCUUUGAAGAACAUGAAAUGUGGCAUGCUAAACUUGCAUGGAGGCUCUGUCUGCUCGAACUCGUCCGUGAAGGGUGACUUGUUUAUGUUGGUCAUGUCCCAUCGUAGUGGCUCGUCAAUGACCCCGUUGCGUUAGAAAUCACCAAUUGCUUGGUCAUGAGCCUCUCUACUUCUUCCUAAAUUUGCCUUUGUUGGGGUAGCGAAACUCUCGGUUUCCCCCAAUUGUGACCUACUGGUUUAGGCUGCUCUUCCAUGUGUUCUGCUCAUCUAUGCCAUGGCUACGGUUCAUGUGGUACGUUCCUAGCAAGCGAGCGAAUUCCUUGUAGACUGUCAGUUGAACUUGAGCCGAAUUAAGUGAUUGUUUCCCUCCGUCCGUUGUGCCGCUUACUUCGAUGUGAGGUGGAGGAUGCUCUUUGCAGGCCUAGCCGCGAAUGAACACUUCGCCUGGAAAAUUGUUCAUGAUUAUCGGAGUAUGACCCCAACUGUGAUUGUAUGCUCAUCCAUGGGCCUAAUCGAGAGUGCAUGCUCAUCCGUGCACUAAGACGAGAGUAUACGUAAUCUCGAAGGCCCAGUCAGAAGUGUACACUGCCAGAAUGCUCGGUUUAUGACUUGUUGAGUGGCUAUUUGCUGACGCUGCUGGAGAGGUUCAUCAUCUGCCCUUGUCCUACUUCGGGACACCUCGUCUAGGGCACGCUGCAUCUCGGUAUGCUGCAAGAGUUGAUUCACCAAGGUCGUUUGAUGCGCGAGGGUGCUUGUCAACUCCAUGACUUGUCGAGAAUAGUGUUGUUAGCCAUUUGGGUUGGAAGAGCUUGGACAAUAUGCGUCUCCUUGAGUAGUGGAAGUGUAAUGGACUCCGAGUGUGAGAUUUGAGUUGGGGAAUGUCAAAUCUGCUGAGAAAUGAGGUAAAAAUGCCUUGGUUUUAUCGUUGGCCCAUAAAUCUAAAGUUGGGAUGGUUGAACUGGUAUUGGACUAGUUUUGGCUGCUUGGGAGGCCACGGGAGUGGGUUGCUCCACGUACAACACUCGGAUGUGUUGGGCCUAGGCUCGGCUCGGAAACGCGCUAGGUUCGCUCUGUGUGGUUUGAAACGGCGUGGGGCGUUGUACUGUCUUUGGCGUGGCUUGGGCCUGCGGGCCUUGGGCCGUGUGUUGAGCUUAGGCUUGCGCUGCUGGGGCAAUGACUUAGGCUGCCCUUAGCGCCUGGGCUUGUUGCUCACUGUGAGUUAUAGGCUUGCCAAAAGUGGCAUGGUGUUUGCUGCUAUGGUGGCCAUCGUGGAUUGUCGUGGUCUAAAUUCUUGAACGUUGGAAGUUUCGUUCGUCGUGGUUUCCGAAUUUCUUGUCAUUGUACUUUUCUUUUAUGCUUAUUCAAAGACUUUUUAGAUAAAAAGUUCUAGGAAUGAAAACGUACGAAAAAUCUAUGAAUGCACCUGCAAAACAAUUAACACUUAAGAUCAAGGCCAAGAGCCUCACGCGCCUAUGAUGAAUGGGGAGGGCUUUGGCAGAAGAAUCUUCGAUGCCAAAGUUAGAAUUUGAGAGAGAAAGUGUUUAGAGAAUUUUAGAAGAGAAUUGGACUUAGGAUUUUGGAGAAAUGAGGGGAUAUAUGUAGGGGUGUGGCCAGCCCUAUUUGGAGAAAUAGGGACCGGCCACUUAUGGUGGUUUUUUUGCUCUAAUUGCAAGAUAUUAUGCCAAAUAAUAUCGUGCAAUUAAUUAGGAAAUUAAUCAAUUACUUUUGGUAAUUAAUCCCAAUUUGAAAAGAAUAAUUGGGAGUUACCUUGUGGGUGUGGAUUUGAUGAGGAGUGAUGAGAGGAUUUAAAAGAAUACCAUUUUAAUCACCUUUGACCUCGAUUGAGCCGUUAUUAUUCGUUGCAUGUGAUUGGGAGUCCUGGUGUGACUCAAGGGUAAUUUUAUCUUUUUUAUCCAAAAAUCCACGUGUUGCCUUCAUAUUUUUCUUGAUUAUUUUUUGCUCCACAAUAUGCUUUUUUUUUUUGUAUUGUGAAAAUUGUAAGGAUUACAAGAAUACAUAUAGGGGAUUGAGUGAUUAGAUGAGCACUCAAUUAGGUCCUUAAAUUAUACCAUACAGGCUGACCUAGGGAGCCUAACUAAUCACCUUGAAUUAAGGAGAUGACAACAAGGAAAAGACCUCUUACAAUUGCUAAACUCAAGAAAUUAAGAAACAUCUAUUAACUAGGUAAAACACAUCUCCUAGAGUUGACUUAAACCCUAAGAAACAGCUAUACCGAGAAACCCUAAUAUCCAAAGGGUCUUGCAAUAUACUAAACACUAAGGCCUUGUUUGGUAGCCCGUAUAACAGACCAGAUAGAAUAACUAGUACGGUUCCAGGUGUUUGGUGUUGUUUUGUACUAAAUAAUACCCGAACUAAUUAUACUAACCCCACACCUUUUAUACGGUGUACACCUGCUAAGUUAUCCAACCAAAAAGCUCUGUAUUAUUAGUCGGGUAGUCUCUCGCCCUCUUUGUUCCUCUCGUCGCUCGCUCUACUCCUCUCACAUUGCUUGCUCUCUCCUCUGAAUCCAAGGUUCUUCCUCCUCUUCUGAAUCUGAGGUUCUUCUUCCUCCUCUCUGUUCCUCCCUCCUCCUAUUUUUCUUGCAAUUUUUCUUCUUCUCUCUCUGUUCUGUCCUCCUAUUUUUCUUCCAACUUUUUUUUUUUCAAUCAGAUUGAAUCAGAUUGUUGUUUUUGUCUCUAAUUUUGCAAUUGAUUUUAUAAAUUUUCAAUUACUAAAGAACCCAUAUGCCUUCUUUGGGUCAUAUCCUUCAUAACCAUUCCACUUUUGCUGUAUUGAUUUGUAGCUAAAAAAAGAGAAGGAUUGGGAAAAAAAAUGAUGCGAAUUUGGAA